Molecule: transfer RNA, 69 nt
Filed under: Ictidomys tridecemlineatus (thirteen-lined ground squirrel)
Lineage: Eukaryota; Metazoa; Chordata; Mammalia; Rodentia; Sciuridae
Description: Spermophilus tridecemlineatus (thirteen-lined ground squirrel) tRNA
Rfam family: tRNA
About the family: Transfer RNA (tRNA) molecules are approximately 80 nucleotides in length. Their secondary structure includes four short double-helical elements and three loops (D, anti-codon, and T loops). Further hydrogen bonds mediate the characteristic L-shaped molecular structure. tRNAs have two regions of fundamental functional importance: the anti-codon, which is responsible for specific mRNA codon recognition, and the 3' end, to which the tRNAs corresponding amino acid is attached (by aminoacyl-tRNA synthetases). tRNAs cope with the degeneracy of the genetic code in two manners: having more than one tRNA (with a specific anti-codon) for a particular amino acid; and 'wobble' base-pairing, i.e. permitting non-standard base-pairing at the 3rd anti-codon position.
Source: Rfam by way of RNAcentral
GGGGUUGUGGCUCAGUGGUAGAGCGCUCGCCUAGCGCGCGUAAAGCACUGGGUUUGAUCCUCAGCUCCA